AUUGACGCGUUUGAAUGUUACCUUUCAUUCAUUCCCUUGGCAGGAUUCCGACUACGAAGUGUGGCAGAAAGCCUUCCACGGCAUGUCUGGCACCAUCCCUAACUGCUGGUCGGCGCGGAAAGACCUCAUCAGGGGAAAGUUUGCUGCGGUGUGCUACGAAAUGACCAUGAUGAAGACUAUCUCGUGGGACUUCAGCACCUCAGGCCAGUGUCACCUGUACAUCGCCCACGAAAGGGUUUACUCCGUCAUGGUCGCUAUCGCCUUCAGGACUAACUCUCUCUUCCUCGAGGGCGCCAAUGAUAUCAUCUCCAGACUCAUCGAGGCAGGACUCCUCGACUACUGGCUCAUCUCGGAGAUAUCCAACACCACACAGUGCCUCAAGCCCCCCACGGCAGACCAAAGCCAGGGAGUGCAGCCCCUUUCACUCACUUCCCUGCUGG
Portunus trituberculatus (swimming crab) is the source of this 440-nucleotide long non-coding RNA. RefSeq lists it as uncharacterized. NCBI's taxonomy places the organism in Eukaryota, Metazoa, Arthropoda, Malacostraca, Decapoda, Portunidae. The transcript has 3 exons. The record is from RefSeq and is a predicted model, not a curated record.